Molecule: transfer RNA, 69 nt
Filed under: Urocitellus parryii (Arctic ground squirrel)
Lineage: Eukaryota; Metazoa; Chordata; Mammalia; Rodentia; Sciuridae
Also listed under: 2 other names
Description: Spermophilus parryii (Arctic ground squirrel) tRNA
Rfam family: tRNA
About the family: Transfer RNA (tRNA) molecules are approximately 80 nucleotides in length. Their secondary structure includes four short double-helical elements and three loops (D, anti-codon, and T loops).
Source: Rfam by way of RNAcentral
GGGGUUGUGGCUCAUUGGUAGAGCACUCGCCUAGCAUGUGUGAGGCACUGGGUUCAAUCCUCAGCACCA